UACGUAGGUCCCGAGCGUUGUCCGGAUUUAUUGGGCGUAAAGCGAGCGCAGGUGGUUUGGUAAGUCUGGUGUAAAAGGCUACUGCUUAACAGUAGUGUGCAUUGGAAACUGUUAGACUUGAGUGCAGGAGAGGUAUGUGGAAUUCCAUGUGUAGCGGUGAAAUGCGUAGAUAUAUGGAGGAACACCGGAGGCGAAAGCGGCAUACUGGCCUGUAACUGACACUGAGGCUCGAAAGCGUGGGGAGCAAACAGG
Molecule: ribosomal RNA, 252 nt
Filed under: uncultured bacterium
Lineage: Bacteria
Description: partial 16S ribosomal RNA
Rfam family: Bacterial small subunit ribosomal RNA
Source: RNAcentral